RNAcentral lists this transfer RNA (66 nucleotides) under Lutraria maxima. Its description in RNAcentral is "tRNA-Gln". Lineage: Eukaryota; Metazoa; Mollusca; Bivalvia; Venerida; Mactridae. The record is from RNAcentral.
AGUAAAGAGGUGUUUGGCAUGGAAGAUUUUGGAUUUUCAGGAGGCUUUUCUAAAAGCUCUUUACUA